RNAcentral lists this ribosomal RNA (253 nucleotides) under uncultured bacterium. RNAcentral describes it as "partial 16S ribosomal RNA". It matches the Rfam family "Bacterial small subunit ribosomal RNA", at positions 524 to 776 of the family's 1533-position model. The record is from RNAcentral.
UACAGAGGUCUCAAGCGUUGUUCGGAUUCAUUGGGCGUAAAGGGUGCGUAGGUGGCGCUGUAAGUCGGGUGUGAAAUUUCGGAGCUUAACUCCGAAACUGCAUUCGAUACUGCGGUGCUUGAGGACUGGAGAGGAGACUGGAAUUCAUGGUGUAGCAGUGAAAUGCGUAGAUAUCUGGAGGAACACCGGUGGCGAAGGCGGCGUCCUGGACCAACACUGACACUGAGGAGCGAAAGCCAGGGGAGCAAACGGG